Long non-coding RNA from Betta splendens (Siamese fighting fish), 1013 nucleotides. RefSeq lists it as uncharacterized. Lineage: Eukaryota; Metazoa; Chordata; Actinopteri; Anabantiformes; Osphronemidae. The transcript has 2 exons. The record is from RefSeq and is a predicted model, not a curated record.
UGUCUUAUCAUGUACCCAUUGCUUGCAUACGCAACGGGAAAAAAAAGCAAUGUCAUAAAUUUUGUGUAUUUAAUUGAAUUGUUUAUUGGCACGCUUCACAUUGAAGGAAAAUCUGAGGAGGUCAAAGUGCCUCCAGUGGAAAAAGUGAGUGCACUGCUCCCUCCUCCCCGGCUCCUCUCCUCGUCCUGCUUCCUCCGAGCCCAUCUCCCAUGUGCUUUUUGUUAAGAAUAGUUCAGAGCCAGUGAGCCCACACAGUGACAGCGGGUCUCGUCCCACUCAAGCUCUGGUUCACGACCGGCGGCGGAGGUCACAUUCACAGUGAACAGAAAUGGUGUAGGUGGACCGUGUGGACGUGUGUCUGCAUCCGCGUGUUGCUCUCCUCUCCAGACUGCUGUUCUUUUAUACUGACGCCUCACUCCUUCAAAUGCGGGAGCACUCAUGUCUUUAUGUUCAGGUGCCUGUUGCUCUUUUGUGUUUCUAUGAUAAAUCUGAGCAUGCAGCAAAAAGGCACCUCCUCCCUUGAUGAACUUGGCAUCGAUCUGUGUUGAGUCUGAGGACAGCAAUCAUGCAAAUGUCGCUGCCAAAGAGGGAGAUGUGUCAGUGCUGUGUGUGGGAUGAGAGAGUCUGGGAGGAAUGAAUGGCUGGAGCACGUUCAUGUAGAUGCUUGGUUCUGAACAUGCAGUUCCUUCACAUAUACUGUAUCGCUGAGCAGCCUUCAUCCCGAUACCCGCUGUGAACCUCUGGUGACCCUCUCUUUCAUGGCGCUAUCCACUUGACGUAGAGGCCACUCUGUGCUGAGCCUGACGCUGAUACGGCCUUUGGACUGGAGCUGCUGAACGUAUGAUCUAUGGAGGCAGAAGCCGCACGUGCUGCGUCUGUGUUGAGCUCGAUUGAAGAAAAAAGCUGGAGUCUUUUCCAAAAACACGGAUAUAGAAUUAUUUCUCUGUAAAUACUAUACUAUAAAAUGAAAAUGAAAUGGUGUUAUAUAAAUAUGAUAUACAGUAUGAUGUAUA